AUUGAACGCUGGCGGCAUGCCUUACACAUGCAAGUCGAACGGCAGCACGGGAGCAAUCCUGGUGGCGAGUGGCGAACGGGUGAGUAAUGUAUCGGAACGUGCCCAGUCGUGGGGGAUGACGCAGCGAAAGCUGUGCUAAUACCGCAUACGAUCUAUGGAUGAAAGCGGGGGAUCGCAAGACCUCGCGCGAUUGGAGUGGCCGAUAUCAGAUUAGCUAGUUGGUGGGGUAAAGGCUCACCAAGGCGACGAUCUGUAGCUGGUCUGAGAGGACGACCAGCCACACUGGAACUGAGACACGGUCCAGACUCCUACGGGAGGCAGCAGUGGGGAAUUUUGGACAAUGGGCGCAAGCCUGAUCCAGCAAUGCCGCGUGCAGGAUGAAGGCCUUCGGGUUGUAAACUGCUUUUGUACGGAGCGAAAAGGCCCUCUCUAAUACAGGGGGCUCAUGACGGUACCGUAAGAAUAAGCACCGGCUAACUACGUGCCAGCCGCCGCAGUAA
Molecule: ribosomal RNA, 500 nt
Filed under: uncultured bacterium
Lineage: Bacteria
Description: partial 16S ribosomal RNA
Rfam family: Bacterial small subunit ribosomal RNA
Source: RNAcentral